AGGGCGCACGGUGGAUGCCUUGGCACUAGAAGCCGAUGAAGGACGUUACUAACGACGAUAUGCUUUGGGGAGCUGUAAGUAAGCUUUGAUCCAGAGAUUUCCGAAUGGGGAAACCCAGCAUGAGUUAUGUCAUGUUAUCGAUAUGUGAAUACAUAGCAUAUCAGAAGGCACACCCGGAGAACUGAAACAUCUUAGUACCCGGAGGAAGAGAAAGAAAAUUCGAUUCCCUUAGUAGCGGCGAGCGAAACGGGAAGAGCCCAAACCAACAAGCUUGCUUGUUGGGGUUGUAGGACACUCUAUACGGAGUUACAAAGGACGACAUUAGACGAAUCAUCUGGAAAGAUGAAUCAAAGAAGGUAAUAAUCCUGUAGUCGAAAAUGUUGUCUCUCUUGAGUGGAUCCUGAGUACGACGGAGCACGUGAAAUUCCGUCGGAAUCUGGGAGGACCAUCUCCUAAGGCUAAAUACUCUCUAGUGACCGAUAGUGAACCAGUACCGUGAGGGAAAGGUGAAAAGCACCCCGGAAGGAGAGUGAAAUAGAACCUGAAACCGUGUGCUUACAAGUAGUCAGAGCCCGUUAAUGGGUGAUGGCGUGCCUUUUGUAGAAUGAACCGGCGAGUUACGAUUUGAUGCAAGGUUAAGCAGUAAAUGUGGAGCCGUAGCGAAAGCGAGUCUGAAUAGGGCGUUUAGUAUUUGGUCGUAGACCCGAAACCAGGUGAUCUACCCUUGGUCAGGUUGAAGUUCAGGUAACACUGAAUGGAGGACCGAACCGACUUACGUUGAAAAGUGAGCGGAUGAACUGAGGGUAGCGGAGAAAUUCCAAUCGAACCUGGAGAUAGCUGGUUCUCUCCGAAAUAGCUUUAGGGCUAGCCUCAAGUGAUGAUUAUUGGAGGUAGAGCACUGUUUGGACGAGGGGCCCCUCUCGGGUUACCGAAUUCAGACAAACUCCGAAUGCCAAUUAAUUUAACUUGGGAGUCAGAACAUGGGUGAUAAGGUCCGUGUUCGAAAGGGAAACAGCCCAGACCACCAGCUAAGGUCCCAAAAUAUAUGUUAAGUGGAAAAGGAUGUGGCGUUGCCCAGACAACUAGGAUGUUGGCUUAGAAGCAGCCAUCAUUUAAAGAGUGCGUAAUAGCUCACUAGUCGAGUGACACUGCGCCGAAAAUGUACCGGGGCUAAACAUAUUACCGAAGCUGUGGAUUGUCCUUUGGACAAUGGUAGGAGAGCGUUCUAAGGGCGUUGAAGCAUGAUCGUAAGGACAUGUGGAGCGCUUAGAAGUGAGAAUGCCGGUGUGAGUAGCGAAAGACGGGUGAGAAUCCCGUCCACCGAUUGACUAAGGUUUCCAGAGGAAGGCUCGUCCGCUCUGGGUUAGUCGGGUCCUAAGCUGAGGCCGACAGGCGUAGGCGAUGGAUAACAGGUUGAUAUUCCUGUACCACCUAUAAUCGUUUUAAUCGAUGGGGGGACGCAGUAGGAUAGGCGAAGCGUGCGAUUGGAUUGCACGUCUAAGCAGUAAGGCUGAGUAUUAGGCAAAUCCGGUACUCGUUAAGGCUGAGCUGUGAUGGGGAGAAGACAUUGUGUCUUCGAGUCGUUGAUUUCACACUGCCGAGAAAAGCCUCUAGAUAGAAAAUAGGUGCCCGUACCGCAAACCGACACAGGUAGUCAAGAUGAGAAUUCUAAGGUGAGCGAGCGAACUCUCGUUAAGGAACUCGGCAAAAUGACCCCGUAACUUCGGGAGAAGGGGUGCUCUUUAGGGUUAACGCCCAGAAGAGCCGCAGUGAAUAGGCCCAAGCGACUGUUUAUCAAAAACACAGGUCUCUGCUAAACCGUAAGGUGAUGUAUAGGGGCUGACGCCUGCCCGGUGCUGGAAGGUUAAGAGGAGUGGUUAGCUUCUGCGAAGCUACGAAUCGAAGCCCCAGUAAACGGCGGCCGUAACUAUAACGGUCCUAAGGUAGCGAAAUUCCUUGUCGGGUAAGUUCCGACCCGCACGAAAGGCGUAACGAUUUGGGCACUGUCUCAACGAGAGACUCGGUGAAAUCAUAGUACCUGUGAAGAUGCAGGUUACCCGCGACAGGACGGAAAGACCCCGUGGAGCUUUACUGUAGCCUGAUAUUGAAAUUCGGCACAGCUUGUACAGGAUAGGUAGGAGCCUUUGAAACGUGAGCGCUAGCUUACGUGGAGGCGCUGGUGGGAUACUACCCUAGCUGUGUUGGCUUUCUAACCCGCACCACUUAUCGUGGUGGGAGACAGUGUCAGGCGGGCAGUUUGACUGGGGCGGUCGCCUCCUAAAAGGUAACGGAGGCGCUCAAAGGUUCCCUCAGAAUGGUUGGAAAUCAUUCAUAGAGUGUAAAGGCAUAAGGGAGCUUGACUGCGAGACCUACAAGUCGAGCAGGGUCGAAAGACGGACUUAGUGAUCCGGUGGUUCCGCAUGGAAGGGCCAUCGCUCAACGGAUAAAAGCUACCCCGGGGAUAACAGGCUUAUCUCCCCCAAGAGUUCACAUCGACGGGGAGGUUUGGCACCUCGAUGUCGGCUCAUCGCAUCCUGGGGCUGUAGUCGGUCCCAAGGGUUGGGCUGUUCGCCCAUUAAAGCGGUACGCGAGCUGGGUUCAGAACGUCGUGAGACAGUUCGGUCCCUAUCCGUCGUGGGCGUAGGAAAUUUGAGAGGAGCUGUCCUUAGUACGAGAGGACCGGGAUGGACAUACCUCUGGUGUACCAGUUGUCGUGCCAACGGCAUAGCUGGGUAGCUAUGUGUGGACGGGAUAAGUGCUGAAAGCAUCUAAGCAUGAAGCCCCCCUCAAGAUGAGAUUUCCCAACUUCGGUUAU
RNAcentral lists this ribosomal RNA (2815 nucleotides) under Staphylococcus aureus. Its description in RNAcentral is "bacterial LSU rRNA". It matches the Rfam family "Bacterial large subunit ribosomal RNA". The record is from RNAcentral. Lineage: Bacteria; Bacillati; Bacillota; Bacilli; Caryophanales; Staphylococcaceae.